AGAUUAAGUUAUUAAGGGCGCACGGUGGAUGCCUUGGCACUAGAAGCCGAUGAAGGACGUUACUAACGACGAUAUGCUUUGGGGAGCUGUAAGUAAGCUUUGAUCCAGAGAUUUCCGAAUGGGGAAACCCAGCAUGAGUUAUGUCAUGUUAUCGAUAUGUGAAUACAUAGCAUAUCAGAAGGCACACCCGGAGAACUGAAACAUCUUAGUACCCGGAGGAAGAGAAAGAAAAUUCGAUUCCCUUAGUAGCGGCGAGCGAAACGGGAAGAGCCCAAACCAACAAGCUUGCUUGUUGGGGUUGUAGGACACUCUAUACGGAGUUACAAAGGACGACAUUAGACGAAUCAUCUGGAAAGAUGAAUCAAAGAAGGUAAUAAUCCUGUAGUCGAAAAUGUUGUCUCUCUUGAGUGGAUCCUGAGUACGACGGAGCACGUGAAAUUCCGUCGGAAUCUGGGAGGACCAUCUCCUAAGGCUAAAUACUCUCUAGUGACCGAUAGUGAACCAGUACCGUGAGGGAAAGGUGAAAAGCACCCCGGAAGGGGAGUGAAAUAGAACCUGAAACCGUGUACUUACAAGUAGUCAGAGCCCGUUAAUGGGUGAUGGCGUGCCUUUUGUAGAAUGAACCGGCGAGUUACGAUUUGAUGCAAGGUUAAGCAGUAAAUGUGGAGCCGUAGCGAAAGCGAGUCUGAAUAGGGCGUUUAGUAUUUGGUCGUAGACCCGAAACCAGGUGAUCUACCCUUGGUCAGGUUGAAGUUCAGGUAACACUGAAUGGAGGACCGAACCGACUUACGUUGAAAAGUGAGCGGAUGAACUGAGGGUAGCGGAGAAAUUCCAAUCGAACCUGGAGAUAGCUGGUUCUCUCCGAAAUAGCUUUAGGGCUAGCCUCAAGUGAUGAUUAUUGGAGGUAGAGCACUGUUUGGACGAGGGGCCCCUCUCGGGUUACCGAAUUCAGACAAACUCCGAAUGCCAAUUAAUUUAACUUGGGAGUCAGAACAUGGGUGAUAAGGUCCGUGUUCGAAAGGGAAACAGCCCAGACCACCAGCUAAGGUCCCAAAAUAUAUGUUAAGUGGAAAAGGAUGUGGCGUUGCCCAGACAACUAGGAUGUUGGCUUAGAAGCAGCCAUCAUUUAAAGAGUGCGUAAUAGCUCACUAGUCGAGUGACACUGCGCCGAAAAUGUACCGGGGCUAAACAUAUUACCGAAGCUGUGGAUUGUCCUUUGGACAAUGGUAGGAGAGCGUUCUAAGGGCGUUGAAGCAUGAUCGUAAGGACAUGUGGAGCGCUUAGAAGUGAGAAUGCCGGUGUGAGUAGCGAAAGACGGGUGAGAAUCCCGUCCACCGAUUGACUAAGGUUUCCAGAGGAAGGCUCGUCCGCUCUGGGUUAGUCGGGUCCUAAGCUGAGGCCGACAGGCGUAGGCGAUGGAUAACAGGUUGAUAUUCCUGUACCACCUAUAAUCGUUUUAAUCGAUGGGGGGACGCAGUAGGAUAGGCGAAGCGUGCGAUUGGAUUGCACGUCUAAGCAGUAAGGCUGAGUAUUAGGCAAAUCCGGUACUCGUUAAGGCUGAGCUGUGAUGGGGAGAAGACAUUGUGUCUUCGAGUCGUUGAUUUCACACUGCCGAGAAAAGCCUCUAGAUAGAAAAUAGGUGCCCGUACCGCAAACCGACACAGGUAGUCAAGAUGAGAAUUCUAAGGUGAGCGAGCGAACUCUCGUUAAGGAACUCGGCAAAAUGACCCCGUAACUUCGGGAGAAGGGGUGCUCUUUAGGGUUAACGCCCAGAAGAGCCGCAGUGAAUAGGCCCAAGCGACUGUUUAUCAAAAACACAGGUCUCUGCUAAACCGUAAGGUGAUGUAUAGGGGCUGACGCCUGCCCGGUGCUGGAAGGUUAAGAGGAGUGGUUAGCUUCUGCGAAGCUACGAAUCGAAGCCCCAGUAAACGGCGGCCGUAACUAUAACGGUCCUAAGGUAGCGAAAUUCCUUGUCGGGUAAGUUCCGACCCGCACGAAAGGCGUAACGAUUUGGGCACUGUCUCAACGAGAGACUCGGUGAAAUCAUAGUACCUGUGAAGAUGCAGGUUACCCGCGACAGGACGGAAAGACCCCGUGGAGCUUUACUGUAGCCUGAUAUUGAAAUUCGGCACAGCUUGUACAGGAUAGGUAGGAGCCUUUGAAACGUGAGCGCUAGCUUACGUGGAGGCGCUGGUGGGAUACUACCCUAGCUGUGUUGGCUUUCUAACCCGCACCACUUAUCGUGGUGGGAGACAGUGUCAGGCGGGCAGUUUGACUGGGGCGGUCGCCUCCUAAAAGGUAACGGAGGCGCUCAAAGGUUCCCUCAGAAUGGUUGGAAAUCAUUCAUAGAGUGUAAAGGCAUAAGGGAGCUUGACUGCGAGACCUACAAGUCGAGCAGGGUCGAAAGACGGACUUAGUGAUCCGGUGGUUCCGCAUGGAAGGGCCAUCGCUCAACGGAUAAAAGCUACCCCGGGGAUAACAGGCUUAUCUCCCCCAAGAGUUCACAUCGACGGGGAGGUUUGGCACCUCGAUGUCGGCUCAUCGCAUCCUGGGGCUGUAGUCGGUCCCAAGGGUUGGGCUGUUCGCCCAUUAAAGCGGUACGCGAGCUGGGUUCAGAACGUCGUGAGACAGUUCGGUCCCUAUCCGUCGUGGGCGUAGGAAAUUUGAGAGGAGCUGUCCUUAGUACGAGAGGACCGGGAUGGACAUACCUCUGGUGUACCAGUUGUCGUGCCAACGGCAUAGCUGGGUAGCUAUGUGUGGACGGGAUAAGUGCUGAAAGCAUCUAAGCAUGAAGCCCCCCUCAAGAUGAGAUUUCCCAACUUCGGUUAUAAGAUCCCUCAAAGAUGAUGAGGUUAAUAGGUUCGAGGUGGAAGCAUGGUGACAUGUGGAGCUGACGAAUACUAAUCGAUCGAAGACUUAAUCAAAUU
This 2927-nucleotide ribosomal RNA is filed under the name Staphylococcus aureus. RNAcentral's name for it is "bacterial LSU rRNA". It matches the Rfam family "Bacterial large subunit ribosomal RNA". Lineage: Bacteria; Bacillati; Bacillota; Bacilli; Caryophanales; Staphylococcaceae. The record is from RNAcentral.